RNAcentral lists this long non-coding RNA (201 nucleotides) under Solanum tuberosum (potato). RNAcentral's name for it is "long non-coding RNA (STUB_LNC009198)". The record is from RNAcentral. Lineage: Eukaryota; Viridiplantae; Streptophyta; Magnoliopsida; Solanales; Solanaceae.
CUGAAAUCGCAUUGUGAUUAUAAAAGUUAAAUAUCACUAUGUUAAAAUUAUUGAGAUUAAUCAGGUCAAAUUGGGCAGGUCAAGACCCAACCCGUUUUUUAGCCCAUUUGAACCCAACCCAUUUGAGCCCAAACUAAACUUGAGCGGGUCAAGACCCAACCCGAUUUCUAUUUCAACCCAUUUUAAUAUCUCCAAUUUCAA